UGCAAAGUAGUAGAAGGGAACCUUUAACAACAGAAGAUCAAGCCCGGAACGUUACUUCCUCCAUCGAUAUUCUCUCCAAACCACAUGUGCACAUAGAUGGCUCAAGGUUCAGGUAUAUAUACCCAAGUCCAAGCAGGCAGAUGGUAAAAGAUGUGCAUAAUGUCAGAUUCACAGCUGAUACAACCAAAUGGGCAAUGGAGUAUCUCGGCUUGUAAAAUUAACAUUUUUCUGUCAUAAAGACCAUGCACGGCUUCUUUGCUGUAUUCAAGAAGAAAGUCUACAAAAGUAUGUGAAGUUCUUACAG
Molecule: long non-coding RNA, 304 nt
Organism: Spea bombifrons (plains spadefoot toad)
Lineage: Eukaryota; Metazoa; Chordata; Amphibia; Anura; Pelobatidae
Exons: 3
Source: RefSeq, a predicted model, not a curated record